AUCUAGUCGACGAGUUCAAAAUAGGACGAAACACGCGUCUUGGAU
This 45-nucleotide non-coding RNA is filed under the name Schistosoma mansoni. Lineage: Eukaryota; Metazoa; Platyhelminthes; Trematoda; Strigeidida; Schistosomatidae. The record is from RNAcentral.